UGAUGCUAGAGAAUGGAGUUAC
Molecule: non-coding RNA, 22 nt
Filed under: Arabidopsis thaliana (thale cress)
Lineage: Eukaryota; Viridiplantae; Streptophyta; Magnoliopsida; Brassicales; Brassicaceae
Source: RNAcentral